AACGCACCUUGCGCUCCUUGGUAUUCCGAGGAGCAUGCCUGUUUGAGUGUCAUUAAAUUCUCAACCUCACCCGUUUUCUGAAUGGGACUGAGGCUUGGAUGUGGGGGUUUGUGCAGGCUGCCUUCUUGUGCGGUCUGCUCCCCUGAAAUGCAUUAGCGAGUUCAUACUGAACUUCCGUCUAUUGGUGUGAUAAUUAUCUACGCCGUGGACGAGGUUUAGACUUGCUUCUAACCGUCCGCAAGGACAAUACCUUGACAAUUUGACCUCAAAUCAGGUAGGACUACCCGCUGAACUUAA
This 297-nucleotide unclassified non-coding RNA is filed under the name uncultured fungus. Its description in RNAcentral is "partial contains 5.8S ribosomal RNA, internal transcribed spacer 2, and large subunit ribosomal RNA". The stretch from base 1 to 52 matches the Rfam family "5.8S ribosomal RNA", at positions 103 to 154 of the family's 154-position model. Lineage: Eukaryota; Fungi. RNAcentral also lists the same sequence under 1 other name. The record is from RNAcentral.